CUCCGUUCUACUUCCCGCUGUGCUUCUGAUAAACCUCUAACUUCAUCAAUUCCGGAAAUGCCCCUACUGAAACCUCAUAUUCACAAGCCGUCUUCCUUCCCCUGUGCUCCCUCCGACACCCUGUUCGCAGAAAGAGCAAUCACAUACCUCAAACGCCAUCCCCACAACCUCACUUCUCUCUCUUCCUGUUUUACCCCUGAGGCAGCCUCCUUUUUGCUCCUCAAGUCCCAAUUCGACCAGCCCCUAACCCUAAAGUUCCUCAGCUGGGCUUUGAACCAUGGUUUCUUCACCUUCCAAUGCAAGUGACUCGCCCUCCACAUCCUCACUCUCUUCAAGCUCUACAAGAGCGCUCAACACCUCGCCGAGGACGUUGCCGUCAACACCAUCGACGACAGAGGUAAUUUGGUCUUUCAGUGCCUCAGUGACUCCCUGCAUAUCUACAAUUCGAGCUCGGCGGUUUUCGACUUGGUGGGGAAGUCUUACUCUCUCUUGAAUUUAAUUGAUGAAGCUCCGAAUAUUGUUAAUUUAGCCAAAGUUCAUAGAUUUAUGCCUGGUGUACUGUCAUAUAAUGCAAUUUUAGAUGCAAUAAGUAGGUCAAAAGAGUCUGUUCAAUUUGCUGAGGAGGUGUUUUCUGAGAUGAUUAGCAAUGGGGUAUCCCCGAAUGUGCAUUACUUACAAUAUUUUGAUUAGGGGUUUUAGCGGGGCGGGGAAUUUUAAAAUGGGGCUGUAGUUUUUUGGUGGAAUGGAAAGAAAUGGAUGUUUGCCGAAUGUGGUUACUUAUAAUACGCUGAUUGAUGCAUAUUGCAAAUUGAAUAGGAUUGAUCAGGCAUUUGAACUGUUGAGAUUGAUGGCGUUGAAGGGAUUGGAGCUGAAUUUGAUUUCAUAUAAUGUGGUAAUCAACAGGUUGUGUUGAGAAGGGAGGAUGAAUGAGACAAGUCAGGUUCUCUAGGAGAUGAAAAGAAAAGGUUUUGUUCCUGAUGAGGUGACUUGUAAAUUGUAAUACACUUAUUAGUGGGUAUUGCAAGGAAGGUAAUGUUCACCAAGCACUUGUUCUGCAAGAGGAGAUGUGGAGUGAUCGCUUGUCUCCCAAUGUAUUCAAUGUCAUUAAUGCUAUGUGUAAGCCUAAGAAUUUCAAUCGAGCAAUGGAGUUUUUCGAUCAGAUGCGUGUUAGAGGACUUCGUCCAAAUGAGAGGAUGUACACUACGUUGAUUGAUGGUUUCUACCAACAGGGGUUCUUAAAUGAUUGGGAAUGGAUUAUCACCUUUGAUUUUACAAUGCACUUUAUCAAUUGAUACUGCUUAUUGGGGAGGAUGGAAGAUGCCAUUCGAAUCCUACAAGUUAUGACAGGGAAAGGGUUGUCCCCUGAUGUACCAAGUUAUAGUACUAUUAUAACUGGGUUUUGUUGGCAUCAAGAAUUGGAGAGCGCAUUUCGAAUGAAGCUGGAGAUGAUGGAUAAGGGUGUAAUGAAG
This 1469-nucleotide long non-coding RNA is filed under the name Prunus dulcis (almond). Its description in RNAcentral is "sRNA ncRNA". The record is from RNAcentral. Lineage: Eukaryota; Viridiplantae; Streptophyta; Magnoliopsida; Rosales; Rosaceae.